GCUUCUGUUCCUCUCUUUGGC
This 21-nucleotide non-coding RNA is filed under the name Arabidopsis thaliana (thale cress). Lineage: Eukaryota; Viridiplantae; Streptophyta; Magnoliopsida; Brassicales; Brassicaceae. The record is from RNAcentral.